UACGUAGGGGGCCAGCGUUGUCCGGAUUUAUUGGGCGUAAAGAGCGUGUAGGCGGCCAGGUAGGUCCGGUGUGAAAACUCGAGGCUCAACCUCGAGAUGUCAUCGGAAACCAUCUGGCUAGAGUCCGGAAGAGGAGAGUGGAAUUCCUGGUGUAGCGGUGAAAUGCGCAGAUAUCAGGAAGAACACCCGUGGCUAAGGCGGCUCGCUGGGACGGUACUGACGCUGAGACGCGAAAGCGUGGGGAGCGAACAGG
RNAcentral lists this ribosomal RNA (253 nucleotides) under uncultured bacterium. Its description in RNAcentral is "partial 16S ribosomal RNA". It matches the Rfam family "Bacterial small subunit ribosomal RNA", at positions 524 to 776 of the family's 1533-position model. The record is from RNAcentral.